This 84-nucleotide microRNA precursor is filed under the name Chlorocebus sabaeus (green monkey). Its description in RNAcentral is "miRNA (ENSCSAG00000026866.1)". The record is from RNAcentral. Lineage: Eukaryota; Metazoa; Chordata; Mammalia; Primates; Cercopithecidae.
GUCAUGUUUUUUAUGGCAGCAGCUUUGGUGUUGAGGAAAGAGCAUUGGACUUGGAGUCAGAAGACUUGGGUCUGAGUCCCGACU